This is a non-coding RNA of Drosophila kikkawai, 708 nucleotides long. NCBI's taxonomy places the organism in Eukaryota, Metazoa, Arthropoda, Insecta, Diptera, Drosophilidae. The record is from RefSeq and is a predicted model, not a curated record.
UUCGUGCCCUUCCAGGGAGAGAGUGAGGUGUCCCUCAACCUCAACUACCUGUUACACUCGUUCUUCCUUCUUUCCAACGCUCUCUGUCGCGCUAACUCGCUCACCCGAGAUUCUUUUUCUUUUCUACCUGUCCCCGAAGAAACUAUCUCAAUUGUAAAUUAAACAUUUCAAUCCACGAAAUGCGGCUUAUCUUGUCAUCCUCUGGCGAGCGAAAUCGAACAUCAACACGUCUGAAAAUUCGCCGAAAAGUUGUCUGCGUCACGCAUUAAAGACCCGAAGAGAAAGAAGAUACAGGCCUCAUUCUGAAGAUACUUUUCCCGUGGGAGCGCGCUUAUGCAACUUGAGAGCAAGCUCAACGCAAAAUGGAUCUGUGUUUAUUUGUUUUCAAGCUGGUUGUCGCCAAGUAUCGCGUGGAUACUCAGAUACUGGGAUACUUGAUUUUGGUUUGCCUAAUCAAUUGCUGUGGCGGCACAGCAUCAAAGCAAAUAAAACCCAAUGAAAUAAAUACAAAAUUCUAAAUUACAGAUUGUAGAGAGUAUAUAUAAACCUUAACCCUAUAAAAAAAAAAAAAAAACUUGAAGAAAAUACGCUUAAAUAUGCAAAAAAGUGUUUGGAAUAUCAAGAAUGCUUGUUGACAAGUCAGCUUUUUGCUGGCAUUUACAUAAAUAUCGUAUUGCAAUCGGUUUAAUUAAAGAAACUCUGAUAUGA